Non-coding RNA from Podarcis lilfordi (Lilford's wall lizard), 96 nucleotides. The record is from the annotation of a GenBank genome assembly. Lineage: Eukaryota; Metazoa; Chordata; Lepidosauria; Squamata; Lacertidae.
CCUCCAGCUGUUUUGGGACUACAGUUCCCAUCAUCCCUGGUCAAUGGUCCUGUUAGCUAGGGAUGAUGGGAGUUGUAGUCCCAAAACAGCUGGAGG